GCACUGCUGACGAGUCCAAAACAGGAUGAAACAGCUGUCCAGUGC
This 45-nucleotide non-coding RNA is filed under the name Echinostoma caproni. Lineage: Eukaryota; Metazoa; Platyhelminthes; Trematoda; Plagiorchiida; Echinostomatidae. The record is from RNAcentral.